RNAcentral lists this ribosomal RNA (253 nucleotides) under uncultured bacterium. Its description in RNAcentral is "partial 16S ribosomal RNA". It matches the Rfam family "Bacterial small subunit ribosomal RNA", at positions 524 to 776 of the family's 1533-position model. The record is from RNAcentral.
UACAGAGGGCUCAAGCGUUGUUCGGAAUUACUGGGCGUAAAGGGUGCGCAGGCCGCACGGGCAGUCAAAUGUGUAAUUCAGGGGCUCAACCCCUGCACUGCGCUUGAUACUUCCGUGCUCGAACCUUGGAGAGGAGUCUGGAAUUCUCGGUGUAGCAGUGAAAUGCGUGGAUAUCGAGAAGAACACUUGGGGCGAAAGCAAGACUCUGGACAAGUGUUGACGCUCAUGCACGAAGGCUAGGGUAGCGAACGGG